RNAcentral lists this ribosomal RNA (584 nucleotides) under uncultured bacterium. RNAcentral's name for it is "bacterial SSU rRNA". It matches the Rfam family "Bacterial small subunit ribosomal RNA", at positions 338 to 916 of the family's 1533-position model. The record is from RNAcentral.
CCUACGGGAGGCAGCAGUGGGGAAUUUUGGACAAUGGACGCAAGUCUGAUCCAGCCACGCCGCGUGCGGGAAGAAGGCCUUCGGGUUGUAAACCGCUUUUGUCAGGGAAGAAAAGGUUCUGGUUAAUACCUGGGACUCAUGACGGUACCUGAAGAAUAAGCACCGGCUAACUACGUGCCAGCAGCCGCGGUAAUACGUAGGGUGCAAGCGUUAAUCGGAAUUACUGGGCGUAAAGCGUGCGCAGGCGGUUAUGCAAGACAGAGGUGAAAUCCCCGGGCUCAACCUGGGAACUGCCUUUGUGACUGCAUAGCUAGAGUACGGUAGAGGGGGAUGGAAUUCCGCGUGUAGCAGUGAAAUGCGUAGAUAUGCGGAGGAACACCGAUGGCGAAGGCAAUCCCCUGGACCUGUACUGACGCUCAUGCACGAAAGCGUGGGGAGCAAACAGGAUUAGAUACCCUGGUAGUCCACGCCCUAAACGAUGUCAACUGGUUGUUGGGAGGGUUUCUUCUCAGUAACGUAGCUAACGCGUGAAGUUGACCGCCUGGGGAGUACGGCGCAAGGUUGAAACUUAAAGGAAUUGACGG